GUAGACCUGGGUAAUGAGGACUAUAGGGAUCAGAGGUAGACCUGGGUAAUGAGGACUAUAGGGAUCGGAGGUAGACCUGGGUAAUGAGGACUAUAGGGAUUGGAGGUAGACCUGGGUAAUGAGGACUAUAGGGAUUGGAGGUAGACCUGGGUAAUGAGGACUAUAGGGAUUGGAGGUGGACCUGGGUAAUGAGGACUAUAGGGAUUGGAGGUAGACCUGGGUAAUGAGGACUAUAGGGAUUGGAGGUUGACCUGGGUAAUGAGGACUAUUAGGGAUUGGAGGUUGACCUGGGUAAUGAGGACUAUAGGGAUUGGAGGUUGACCUGGGUAAUGAGGACUAUUAGGGAUUGGAGGUGGACCUGGGUAAUGAGGACUAUAGGGAUUGGAGGUGGACCUGGGUAAUGAGGACUAUUAGGGAUUGGAGGUGGACCUGGGUAAUGAGGACUAUAGGGAUUGGAGGAAGACCUGGGUAAUGAGGACUAUAGGGAUUGGAGGUGGACCUGGGUAAUGAGGACUAUAGGGAUUGGAGGUGGACCUGGGUAAUGAGGACUAUAGGGAUUGGAGGAAGACCUGGGUAAUGAGGACUAUAGGGAUUGGAGGUAGACCUGGGUAAUGAGGACUAUAGGGAUUGGAGGUAGACCUUGGUAAUGAGGACUAUAGGGAUUGGAGGUAGAUCUGGGUAAUGAGAGCUAUAAGGAUUAGAGGUAGAAAAGGUAAAAUUAGUCAAUGAGAAAUUGUUUGGUGUCAAAGCUCUUUUACUAGGCAAACAUAGGAUUGACAGAAUUCAUUGUUAGAACAGGAACACAUCUUAUCGGCCCCUCUUCCAGGGUCAGGAACACACAGCUUCUAGGCCCCUCCUCCAGGGUCAGGAACACACAGCUUAUAGGCCCAUCCUCCAAGGUCAGGAGCACAGCUUAUCUACUCCUCGCCAGGUACACAUCUUAUAGGCCCCUCCUCCAAGGUCAGGUACACAGCUUGUAGGCCCUCCUCCAAGGUCAGGAACACAGCUUAUCGGCCCCUCCUCCAAGGUCAGGAGCACAGCUUAUAGGCCCCUCCUCCAGGGUCAGGAGCACACAGCUUAUAGGCCCCUCCUCCAGAGUCAGGUACACACAUCUUAUAAGCCCCUCCUCCAGGGUCAGGUACACACAGCUUAUAAGCCCCUCCUCCAGGGUCAGGUACACACAGCUUAUAGGCCCCUCCUCCAGGGUCAAGUAUACAGCUUAUGGGCCCCUCCUCCAGGGUCUGGUACACAGCUUAUCUUCUCCUUGUCAGGAACACAGAUUAUGUGCCCCUCCUCCAGGGUCAGGAACAAAAUGUGAUGGUUCCGAGUCCAUCGUAUAGUAGGGAGGUCCCACUCUAUGGCCAUUUAGUUUGUCUUGUUUUAGUUGUUGUGAUUUUUUUGUUGAAAUAAAGAGGCCAUUUUCAGUACA
Long non-coding RNA from Pecten maximus, 1429 nucleotides. RefSeq lists it as uncharacterized. The record is from RefSeq and is a predicted model, not a curated record. The transcript is spliced from 3 exons. NCBI's taxonomy places the organism in Eukaryota, Metazoa, Mollusca, Bivalvia, Pectinida, Pectinidae.